This 36-nucleotide non-coding RNA is filed under the name unclassified sequences. Its description in RNAcentral is "DUF805b RNA". It matches the Rfam family "DUF805b RNA". Rfam says of the family: Bacteroidetes, Chlorobi (1 example), Proteobacteria. Lineage (Flavobacteria) The record is from RNAcentral.
AAGGAGUAAGCCGAAAAUCCUGCAACAGAGUAGGCA